This 251-nucleotide ribosomal RNA is filed under the name uncultured prokaryote. RNAcentral's name for it is "partial 16S rRNA". It matches the Rfam family "Bacterial small subunit ribosomal RNA", at positions 525 to 775 of the family's 1533-position model. The record is from RNAcentral.
ACGUAGGGUGCGAGCGUUAAUCGGAAUUACUGGGCGUAAAGCGUGCGCAGGCGGUUAUAUAAGUCAGAUUUGAAAGUCCCGGGCUCAACCCGGGGACGGCGUUUGAGACUGUAUGACUAGAGUGUGGCAGAGGGGGGUGGAAUUCCACGUGUAGCGGUGAAAUGCGUAGAGAUGUGGAGGAACACCGAUGGCGAAGGCAGCCUCCUGGGCUAAUACUGACGCUCAUGCGCGAAAGCGUGGGGAGCAAACAG